UACGGAGGGUGCGAGCGUUGUCCGGAAUCACUGGGCGUAAAGGGCGCGUAGGCGGCGCGGGCAGUCAACGGUGAAAGCUUGGGGCUCAACCCCGAGUCGGCCGUCGAUACUCCCGGGCUGGAGCACUGUAGAGGCAGGUGGAAUUCCGGGUGUAGCGGUGGAAUGCGUAGAGAUCCGGAAGAACACCGGUGGCGAAGGCGGCCUGCUGGGCAGUAGCUGACGCUGAGACGCGAAAGCGUGGGGAGCGAACAGG
Molecule: ribosomal RNA, 253 nt
Filed under: uncultured bacterium
Lineage: Bacteria
Description: partial 16S ribosomal RNA
Rfam family: Bacterial small subunit ribosomal RNA
Source: RNAcentral